This is a long non-coding RNA of Lutra lutra (Eurasian river otter), 2406 nucleotides long. RefSeq lists it as uncharacterized. Lineage: Eukaryota; Metazoa; Chordata; Mammalia; Carnivora; Mustelidae. The record is from RefSeq and is a predicted model, not a curated record. The transcript has 6 exons.
CUGGAAGCAGCGCGAGCCGUUUCUCACGCCAGAGCCCUCGGCGGAGCGCACAGACGAGAUCACACGAUGACCGGUGAAAGGAUGGGGCUGCCAGACAGCUCGCUGGUCGGCCCUUGGGGCGGGUCCGCGGCCUCGGUGACCCACACUAGGGCUGGUCCUGUCACCCUGUGUCCCACUCCAGAGCACCGGACUGAGACGCGGAACACUGAGAGGACAUCGCUGCGGGUCAGCGCAGUUGUGGGAGGCGUUCUGGAGGACGUUGUGGGCGAGCAGUGAACUGGCUAACUUUGAGCAGAGGAAGAGAUCAUUUCGUAACUUGAGCCGAAGUGCAAAAGCAGACACAGUCGAGGCACUCUGGCUGUUCAGAGCAAGACCAGUCCAAAUGCCAUUUGUAUUUCAGUACACGUGCAAGGAAAGCCAGUGGAGAGGAUCCUAAACCCCACGGGGACGCAAGGAGACUGCAUGGUGCGGAUAGCAUCCCUACGCUGAGGAUUGGGAGGGGAGCAGCCCGAUUCUCUCACAUAGACCAAAAGAAGGACAUCUCCCAGAAGAGUCUCUUAAUAUUUUAUCAGAGCUUUGAUUUGGCUUAGUGCUGAUGAUCACCUAAGUGCUAAUCCUGUCUGGACACUGGCUCCCUCAUCAUUCCCAAAGAAGAACACUUCAAAAUACAAAACUUGAUCGUGGACUUGAUGUCUGACGCUGCUCCAGUGGAGUUUAGCCUUCAAGGUUCUGCAGGGAGUCGAGUUGGCAUUUUCUCAAGGGCGGAAGGAGGCCUAUUGUUCCCUCCCGUGACUACGCAGCUACCUUGAGCUCUGCACUCAUUUACUCACUCAUGCAGUGAGCAUGUGAGGCCCAGUUUUAGGCUCAGAGAGGCCAAGAUGCUUAGCCGCGGCCACGGCACACCUCACUGCAGCUGGCCAUCAACAGCACGCCUCGUCUCCUUAGGCCACAGUGUUCCACAGUCUACAAAUAAACCCUGGGCUGUCUCCCCUGCACCAGCUCAAGAAAUGUUUCAAAUAUAAUGAAAUAAAACUUCUUUGUGCCACCUAAUGAAGUUCUCAAGUGCACGUUGGGGUGACCACCGCCUAAGGCAAGAAACAGAAGAUCCCUGGCACUCUGGCACCGCCUCCUGAUCAGGACCCUUCCCUCUCUACAAUUCUGAUGUCGUCAUACACAUACUAAAAUCUAUACGGUCAGUUUUGAUGGUUUGGGCUCUAUGUAAAUGGAACCAUUCUGUAGGAAUCAUUUGUCUUUCUCUCUCUUCAGUCAACACUGUGAAGUUGGUGCUUACAGCUCUCAUGUUUAUUUUUUAGGGUCAAGUUUGUCAUCCUUUCUAUUCAUGGACAUUUAAUUUGUUUCCAGCUUUGGGAAAUGAUAGACAGUGUGGUCAUGGACAUUGUCUUCUAUGUAUCCUGGUAGACGUGGAUUGCUGGGAAUAACAGAGCUCGACUUUCUUCAGUUUAGCUAUGUAAUACCGCACCCUCCACAGAUAGGUUACAAACUGACAUUCUCACCAGUGUGGGAAGGUCCAGAUGCACCAACAAUUGACAUUGUCAGGCUUUUACAAUGUUGUUAGUCUGAAGGGUGUUUAACAGUACCUCGUUUUAAAUUUGCAUUUCCCUGAGUAAUACAAGGUUGAGUAAUUUCUAAUUUAUUAGCCAUUUUGGAUUUCUUCUCUGAAGAAGUGCUUCCCUUUAAGACUUUUGCCUAUGAUUUUUACUCACUGAUUUGUUGUUUUUCAUAUAGUUUAGAAUUCUGCAGUCUGAGAUGUUAGCCACUAGUCUCGGAUGGUAAUAUAAAUUAAUAGAAAAUUCAGUUCCUUACUUACACUAUCCAUAUUUCAAAUGCUCAAUGGCUACAUGGGGCUGGUAGCUACUUUAUGGGAUGGCAGAGAACUACAGAAUGUCCCCCCUUACAGCAAUUUCUACAGGAAAUUUCUACAAUUUCUACAGGAGAGAGACUACAGAACAUUUCUGACCUCACACAAAGCUCUCUAGGACAGGACAGAACUAGAGAGCAUUCCAUUGUACAGCCAAUCCCACCGCACGAUGUUGCUCUAGACACUUGUCUCUGUUGCGCGUGCAUUACAGGUAUCUCCCCACAUUCAGGGCCUGUCCAUUAGUUCUUCCGUGGUUCUUUUGAUGAAUGAAUAUUUUGAGUUUAACCAAUUUGUCCUUUUUGGAUAGGGCUUUUUUUUCCUUUAGGAAUUUCUUCCUAUCCCAAGGUCAUGAGGAUGUUCUUUCGUGCAUCUGGAACUGCUUUUGUGUAUAGAGAGAGAACUGUUCAUACAAGUGCAGCCGUGAGGAACCUCUUCCUCUCCCACCAUCACUGCGGGAGCCCAGGACUUUCUCAAACCAACCCUCCCCCCACCCGCCCCACUUCUAGACAUGUCAGCCGGAGUGAUCC